This 433-nucleotide ribosomal RNA is filed under the name uncultured bacterium. RNAcentral's name for it is "partial 16S ribosomal RNA". It matches the Rfam family "Bacterial small subunit ribosomal RNA", at positions 29 to 507 of the family's 1533-position model. The record is from RNAcentral.
AACGAACGCUGGCGGCAUGCCUAACACAUGCCAGUCGAACGAGACCUUCGGGUCUAUUGGCGCACGGGUGCGUAACGCGUGGGAACCUGCCCUUAGGUUCGGAAUAACUCCCCGAAAGGGGUGCUAAUACCGGAUAAUGUCUUCGGACCAAAGAUUUAUCGCCUUUGGAUGGGCCCGCGUUGGAUUAGCUAGUUGGUAGGGUAAAAGCCUACCAAGGCGACGAUCCAUAGCUGGUCUGAGAGGAUGAUCAGCCACACUGGGACUGAGACACGGCCCAGACUCCUACGGGAGGCAGCAGUGGGGAAUAUUGGACAAUGGGCGAAAGCCUGAUCCAGCAAUGCCGCGUGAGUGAUGAAGGCAUUAGGGUUGUAAAGCUCUUUUACCCGGGAUGAUAAUGACAGUACCGGGAGAAUAAGCUCCGGCUAACUCCGUG